RNAcentral lists this ribosomal RNA (505 nucleotides) under uncultured bacterium. RNAcentral describes it as "partial 16S ribosomal RNA". It matches the Rfam family "Bacterial small subunit ribosomal RNA", at positions 28 to 507 of the family's 1533-position model. The record is from RNAcentral.
GACGAACGCUGGCGGCGUGCCUAAUACAUGCAAGUAGAACGCACAGUUUAUACCGUAGCUUGCUACACCAUAGACUGUGAGUUGCGAACGGGUGAGUAACGCGUAGGUAACCUGCCUGGUAGCGGGGGAUAACUAUUGGAAACGAUAGCUAAUACCGCAUAAUAUUAAUUAUUGCAUGAUAAUUAAUUGAAAGGUGCAAUUGCACCACUACCAGAUGGACCUGCGUUGUAUUAGCUAGUAGGUGAGGUAACGGCUCACCUAGGCGACGAUACAUAGCCGACCUGAGAGGGUCAUCGGCCACACUGGGACUGAGACACGGCCCAGACUCCUACGGGAGGCAGCAGUAGGGAAUCUUCGGCAAUGGACGAAAGUCUGACCGAGCAACGCCGCGUGAGUGAAGAAGGUUUUCGGAUCGUAAAGCUCUGUUGUAAGAGAAGAACGGGUGUGAGAGUGGAAAGUUCACACUGUGACGGUAUCUUACCAGAAAGGGACGGCUAACUACGUG